RNAcentral lists this ribosomal RNA (386 nucleotides) under Illiciomyia yukawai. RNAcentral describes it as "partial large subunit ribosomal RNA". It matches the Rfam family "Eukaryotic large subunit ribosomal RNA", at positions 329 to 634 of the family's 3401-position model. The record is from RNAcentral. Lineage: Eukaryota; Metazoa; Arthropoda; Insecta; Diptera; Cecidomyiidae.
CGAAACCGAUAGCGAACAAGUACCGUGAGGGAAAGUUGAAAAGUACUCUGAAUAGAGAGUUAAAUAGUACGUGAAACCGCUUAGGGGUUAAGCCCGAUGAACCCGAAUAUCUGAUGUGAGAAAUUCAAUACUGUUCAAUCAAUGCGAUAGUAUGCACUUUUCUCAUAGUAGGACAUUGUAAUCCAUUGAUAUUAUAUCACUUUCACUUAUAUGGGAGUGAUGAUUUAACAUACGAACAAAAUGUAUAAGUUUAUUCUAUCAGUGAUGUGUUUACAUAUCAUAUGAAUAAGAUCGUUUUGUAUCUGUUUAAAUAGUCGAUGGAUUUUAACAGAAUCAUGCUUGCAAUUUAAUUUGCGUUUCGUGUUAUCGACCAUUUGUUGGUUGGU